This is a long non-coding RNA of Mirounga angustirostris (Northern elephant seal), 9598 nucleotides long. RefSeq lists it as uncharacterized. NCBI's taxonomy places the organism in Eukaryota, Metazoa, Chordata, Mammalia, Carnivora, Phocidae. The transcript has 2 exons. The record is from RefSeq and is a predicted model, not a curated record.
GCGGCGGCCACGUAGCUGCCGGCGAGCUCGCCAGUUGCCUCCGCCGCCGCCUUGGAAUCUGGGGCCCCGACGGCCGGCGAGACCCCGCCUCCGCCCGACCCCGGGGAGGCCGCGCGGCUGCUGCGCCUGCCCCAGCCGCCGCACCUGGGAGCGGUGAUCACCAGGAGAGGUGGGGCGUGGCAAGAGGCUGGCCGGGCGCCGGAGCAGCUUCGCCAAAAGCCAGCCGGACCGGCGCAAGGCGGAGGGGGAGGGUCUCGGGGCAGAGGCCGGCUCCUCCGAGGGAGAGACCCCAGCUGGGGUGGAAAAGGGCACAAAGCAGCUGCACAGACGCUGGGCGCGGAUCAUGGAGCGGGCCAGCCCCGGCUCCGGGGAGUCGAAGCUGCAGCGGGACCAGGAUUCCGUGGAAGCGUGGCUGGAUGAUCACUGGGACUUUACCUUCUCUUACUUUGUUAGGAAAGCCACCAGGCCGGUCUAGUAGACCACAACUACACACGCCCAGCCGGGACCCUGCGGAGCUUGACCACCCAGAACUGGGCGACCACGCCUACCCCCUGCGCCUGCGGACAGGCCAGCUCCGAAAAGCGCCCAGAGGACCUGCAGGCCCCGCCCCACGGGGCGGGGCCUAGAGGCUCAUCGCGCCUGCGCGGAGGCCCGAGGGCGUGCUGCGCCGUUACUUUUGAAACGAGUGGCGGGGAACUGCUGUGGGCGUCUCUGCUGUCGCUCUCUGCCGGGGGAAAGCGCACUCCUUCGUCUGUAGGACUGGCCAUGGCGCUGCAGCUCUCCCGGGAGCAAGGCAUCACCCUGCGCGGGAGCGCCGAAAUCGUGGCCGAGUUCUUCUGUAAGUCGUCCUCGCGCAGGCCGGAGGGCGGGGUGAACUGAGGCCAGGCCGCCCGGUAGGCCCGGGGCUCAGCCGCGGAGGCGGGGGAAGCGGGAGGGGGUGGAGGGGAGGCCGCGAGGCCGCGAGGCCGCGAAUUAAGCUCUCUCUGCCCCAGCCUCCUGCCCGGCGGGAGAAUCUAGGAAGAAGCGGAUGCAGACGCCGCCUCCGGGCUCCUUGCUAAUGGUGGAGCUUGAGGCCUAGGUGCUGCUGAGGCCUGCGGCGCGAUGUAGCCCCUCCACCUGCAGCGUUGCUUUCAACUACAGAGCCAGGCACUUUCCGCCCGCCCCCAGCCUCCGCGACUUCAGACGGAGUAGGACCGGGGUGGGGGCCACGUAUAUUUUUAACAACCCCUCGGCCCCUCUUUGAUUCUGGUAUUGGCGGUGAUGGACUAGAGUUAGGAAACGCCAUUCCGGACCAGGACAGUUGUGCCUUCUGAUAGGAUCUGGCAGGACUUGUGAGGAGAAAAGGAGGAAAAAGAGGGAAAGGUUUGCUGAGAGCAUUGCAGAGAACAGUUAAUCAGUUGCUAACUGAGAUGCAAAAGCCUAUUUUGACAGCCUCUAACCACAUAAUCUGAAUUGGGACUUGGAUUACAGUGAGUUGUAGUACUACUUUGACAGUAGAUUAAUGCAGUUUGGCGUUUUUCUCUUUUUUUGCCACAGAAAUGCAGGUAUCGUGUUCUCUCUUAAUUAGAAGCAAGGUUUUAAGAAUGUUUAAUGCCACUUUUUAGGAAUACUUUUAUUACAGCCCAUCAGGGGCUGUAACUUUAACCUACGAAUUGGUGUGGGAGGGAGACACAAUUCAAUCUAUGGCAAGCAGCAAUAGUUCAGCUCUCCCCACCGCGGCGUGCACUCACGCACACGCGCACGCACGCACGCAUUCUCGCGCACGCCCGCACGCAUUCUCGCGCACGCACGCAUUCUCGCGCACGCACGCACGCAUUCUCGCGCAGGCACGCACUCACAAGGCGCGGCCCCGGGAAAGGGGACUAGAGUUUAUGUGUCCUACCGUCAGCAGCUGGGAAGCUGUGUAGGCCCCUCUCUUCCUUCUCCAGGCCUUACAGGGGUCCUAGCCUGCUGCAAGGGGUAAGUUAAAGGGGUUUAUGGAAGAUCUUGCGGCACACUGGGCAACACUCCAUCUGGUCAGCCAUCAAAAGAGUUCUAAAGAUCAUUGAGUAAAAAAUAUAUUCACUGGACAUAGAUUGGAAAAACAGCCAGUCUGCUUAGUCCCUGGGCCCAAGACAUGGACAGUAUUUGGAGGCAAGAGUACAACAUAAGGAAAUCAUCAGAAGCACAGGCAAAGAAUUAUGUACCAGGAUGUUCAUAGAAGCAUUAUUUAAAGUUGCAGAACAACCAAAAAAAAAAACCUGGACUCAAACCAAAUAGCCCAAAAUAUGGGAUAGUUAAAUAAGAUGGGCUAUUAAACAGACAUUAAAUAUUAUGUUUUCAAAAUAUAUUUAAUUAAAUGGAAAAAUACCAGAUACUGUAAAGUUAAAAAACAUGCACAGCCGUAUAUAUAGUAUGUUUUAAAUCAGUGUCAAAAGUGCUACGUUCAAAAUGAGCCGAGACUUGUGAAAAAUACUUAGGACAAUAUAAAAUACUCUUCCAUCAUAUUUUAGGCAAUGAGAAAAGACAAGGCAGGAAAAGAACCGUACUGCUUGGGGAAGAGAGCAAUUUGCUAACAAACAUUAGAAUUUCUUUUUCUCCAGCCAGGAAAAUGAUCUUCAAAUUCUACAAAUAGAAUAUGCAAAGAAAACGUAAAUUUCAACACCAAAUGGUGAAGAAAGCUAGUAGUCCAUAGUUUAGAUAAAGAUAAAAAUCCUGUGUUUGUGUACCAUCACAUCUAUGACACUGGGCACAUUGGCACAUAAUACCAUCUCAGUUAAACUUGUGACAAACAACUAAGUAUAAGAAUGAAUACAAUGAAUACGCACUGAGAAGUAUUCAAAAUGGUGGUUAUCAGUAGCUUAGAAGUGGGAGAUAUGCAAAGAUAAUUGAUUAAAGGGUAUAAGCUUCCAGUUACAGGAUUAGCAAGUUCAGGGGCACCUGAGUGGCUCAGUGGGUUAAGCAUUUGCCUUUGGCUCAGGUCAUGAUCCCGGGGUCCCGGCAUUGGGCUCCCUGCUCAGUGGGGAGCCUGCCAGGGAGCCUGCUUCUCCCUCCCUCCUCGCUCUUGCUCUCUCUCGCUAUCUCUGUCUCUCUCAAAUAAAAAAAUAAAAUUUUGAAAAAAACUAAGAUUAACAAGUUCUGGGGCUCUAAUGUAUAACAUGGUGAUUACAGCUAAUAAUACUUUGUAUUAUAUAUGUUUAUUUAUAUUUAUAUUAUUAUAGCUAAUAAUACACUUUAAAGUUGGUAAAAGAGUAACUCUUAAAUGUUCUCACUACAAAAAAGAAAUGGUAAUUAUGUGACAGGACAGAGGAGUUAGCCAUAGGAUUAUGACUUAGUCAUAAUCAUUUUGUAAUACACAAGUUUAUUAAAUCAACACCCUGUAUACCUUAAACUUACACAAUGUUAUAUGUCAAUUCCCUCUCAAUAAAGUGGGGUAAAAUUUUUUAAAUAUAUAUUUUUUAAAGUAUCAAGGACUUCAAAAAAAUUCAGUGAUAUAUCGAGUUGCUCAAAAAAUGUCCAGGUAUGUCCUCAGUAUUUGUAGAUAAAUUUCAAAACAUCAACGAAUCUCUUGAACGGUUUCAGAAGAGUGUGUAGAGAUUUUCCAAUAAUUUAUCCUGGAAAUGAAAAUUGAUGUAUUCGAUACAUUCAAUCCUAAAGACCAAGGAGAUGUUAGAGCAGAUUGCCAUACAGGUGAUUGAUCAGAAGGGAUUGUCGUGCUUAAUGUCAAAACAAUUAUAUAUCCUUUUAACCAUAUGUGACCCAACAGAACUCAGCCUCUGCUGGUAAUUGUCUUUCAUUAUUUGGUUAAAAAAUUUUUUUUUAACAAAAAUAGGGAACCACUGGAGAUUUUUGAACAGGGAAACACCUCUCAUUGAUAAAGAUCAGUCAGUUCUGUACCUAAUACACUGGAAAUUGAAGAGACUGGAGGCCUAAAGAUCAAGCAUAUGACAAACUAGAAUAUUCUAGGUAAAAGCAGUAAUAGGGUAAGAAAUACAAAGUAAAAGUCAAAAGGGUGUUAAUAGUAGAGACAUAAAGAGAAAAGCAGCAGUACAACUGACCUAGCUGGAAGAUGGAAACAGAAAAAAUCAGAGACUAUGCCAAGAUUUCAAAAUUGGAUGGCUAAGUGAAUAGUUGUGCCAUGACUAGAAAGAAGAAAGUCGUGUUUCCUAACUUAGAGUGAGGUGAUGCUUAAUUCGAUUAUUACUCAUUAUACGUUGGAACUCUCAAAUAGCGCAUUGAGAUUAUGGACCCGGCCCUCUGGAGAAAAGUAUAUGCAGUCCUGCGCCUACACCGUGACGGAACCCGGGAGGUGGGGGUGUGGGGGUGGGGGGGCGCCGAGGUUGUGCACAUAGCCUGCUGGGCCAGGUGGAGCACGCCAUCUGCUGUGACUGAUAUUCGCAAAAAUGAGUCCCCGUGUUCUACGAAAAAGAAGUUCAUUGAGUUUUGAGUGUAGUCCACGUCCACUAACUGCUUCCUCUUAUUCCAUUCUUUACUGUGUGCUGAAGACCCAUCAACGAAUAAAGCAGUCUCUUGAGAUUGCCACGAAGCACAAAAUUUUAGAGAUUUUUUUCAGUAUUCUCUAUAUAAGAAUAACAGUGUGUUGUAGAAAUAUUUCUAUCAGAAAUAGUAAAAAAAAAAUAGGCUUGUCAUUUAAAUGCAUAUUCUUCGGAUAUCUGGGAAGUGUACUGGCAUGGAACAAACUUUUCUUGAGCAAUGCUGGGAAAAUGAGGUGUUGCUGUAUUGGGUUAGUGAUAUUAAAUCAGAGAUUAUAUGUAGACAGUGAAGGGAUUGAGAAGUAAUUUUGGUUUCCUUUUCAGAACGGGGGGAUCAGAGAGAUUUUUUUUUUUAAUAAUAAUCAUCAAGUACGGUAAUGGCAAACACUCUGAAAAUAUUAAGUGUUGCAAGCAAUUUAUUAUGUCUAUUACAUUCUCAGAAAGACAAUCAGUCAAUAUUGCAAUCUUAAAUAUAAACUUGCAGAGUGCUAAAUCCUCUUGCAAACUAAACUUCAAAACCCUCAACGAUGAUUGUCUAUAAUAAACAAGGCAGAGUAGUUUACUUAUGGCCCAAAGUUAGACUUUGAAGUUCACUUUUAAAGAACGUAUUUGAUAGUAGUUCUCCAAAAGAAUGUUAAUUACGAAAAUGAAAGGAUGGAUUAAGUCCUGUAAAAUUUUAUUUUUCAAAGAAAUGCUUCAAUGCCUCCUUUGAUAUAUGACUCAUUUCACCACUUUAAAAGACAUAGCAACAGUAAAAACUUCUUUAAAAUUAGCAAAUCAAAAAUUCUAAAAUCUCAUGAUCUGUGUUCACCUCAAAAUCAUAAUACCAUAAUGAUUGCAAGGAUGACAUUAUUGUAUGUACCACAAAGAAAGGAAUAAAAACAAAGCUACACAAGUUAUAACACGUGUUUUUUGUAGCUCAGAACUUUCACUACAUACUUACUGAAAGAGCUUUAUAAUACCUACUGAGGUAUAGGUUUUUAUCUUAUGCCCUGCUUGAAUCUAUAUAAAAAUGAAACUGUAAGAGGGGCGCCUGGGUGGCUCAGUCAGUUAAGCAUCCGGAGGACUCUUGGUUUGGGCUCAGGUCAUGGUCUGGGGCUCAUGGGAUCCAGCCCCAGAUUGAGCUCCAGGCUCAGGCAGGAGUCUGCUUGUCCCUCUCCCUACCCUUGCCCCUCCCCCUGCUCCCUGUUCACGUGCAUGUGUGCUCGAGCUCUCUCAAAUAAAUAAAUAAAAUCUUAGAAAAACAAUAAAGUAUAAGCAAAACAAAUCGGUUAGGGUAUUCCUAAAGCUUACUCCCAUCCCAAAUCCAGUAUUUCCAAACAUGUUCAACUCAGAGUCAUGGAUGACCAUGUUUCCCACACAAUACUAUCAUCUAUGCUAUCAAGAGUGCUGGUCCUACAGUAUCGUCUCUGCAAUUUUAUUCCAAGUUGCUGAUAUUCAUACUGUAAGUUUUUAUGCACGUGGACUAGCAAUGACAAGGACAUCAGAACCACAAGACACAACCUGUUUCCAGAAAUGUGAAAAUGUAAAAAGAAAUGUAAAUGUUAGAAUCUUUGAAAUAUGAUGUAUCUUAAGAGCUAAGAUAUAGUAAAGAAAUUUGAUUUACAGCUCUAAUUUCUGACCCCCUCCCCUCAUGGAAGUAGAGUUGAUACACGGUUCCAUUAGUUUCAGGUGUACGACCCAGGGAUUCAGUGACUCUACACCUGGUGCUGUGCUCACCAUUCAGCUCUAAUUUCUUACAGGCUCUUGGACUUUCUUCGCUGUUCACCAGAAACUGUAAAUCUGACAUUUGCAAAGUGUUAACCUACUCUAAAGGGUGAAUUUGGAACUUUAAAAAGGAAAGCAGUGGCCUUUCUACUGCUUCAGUGAUGUCAGCACCAACAAAGGUAGCAGCCCCGGCAUCCUCACCAGCUAAGGCAAAACCAUCUAUUUGGACUUACGUCUUCGGACCUGUUAAAUUUAUGUAGAACUGAACUCAUCCUAUCCCCACAUUCCCAAGAUUUUUAAAACAAACAAACAAGCAAAGUCCUUGCUUCUCGGAGGUUAUAAGUAAAUCUAAGGGAAAUGGUGUUUUCUGUUGGGGUUGUUUGUUUGUUUGUUUGUUUUGAGAAAACAUUGUCAUCUUAUUUCAAGUUAUAGACUGACUUCUAGAAAUGAGAUUCAAAUUUUUUGAGGCUAUAAACACCGAGCCAAGCAAUACUCUUGAAGUAAACAUCCUAGAAGUCAGACUAGUAUGAUACAUAUGAUUAAGGCAUUGCUGUGCUCACUUUUGCAAGUUUAUACUUAAACCAGAGAAAAUCAGCUACAAGAUGAAUCUAAACAAAUAGUAUGCCGGAAUAUAUUAUGUACACUGAAAUUUUAGUUUUUUAGCGUUCAUAGCGGUAAUGACUCAGAUCAGCUUUGAUAUUUUUUUUUCAAACUUACCAAAUAUCCCAGAAAGUAAAAACACAGAAAUAGCAAAAUAUUUUUUAGAAUUUAAAUGUAAAAUGUUUUUAAAUGCUAAAUUCUGAUCUGUUUGCCACUGGGAAAAUCACAUAAUUUGCAACUAGAUUCUGAGAAAGGGGGAUUAGGAAAAAAAGUAAAGAGCGAACGAUAUGUUUUACUAGACAUUUUCUUCAUGUAUGUUUAUUACUUCUUUAAGAAACAUAAGUUUUAUCAAUCUUUAGUUAAAAGCAUGAAAGAAAAGCAAUCUAAAAUGGGUCAACUGAAAAAAUAUAUAUAACAACGAAACGCUAAAAAUGAAAUUACAUUAGCAUGUACCUGUAUUUCAAAUAGGAAAGUAGAUUUAGCUUGAGAUGAUAUUCAAAAUCUUAAGUGCUGGGCACAGACACCAAUCAAUGAGAAUGGCACUGCUCUCAAUGGCCGGAACAACCAUAUAUAUUAUCAACUGGAUACCAAGCCAGCAAGUCAGCCUGUGAUGUGCUCCACCAAUUGCUCAACAUCCCAAUAUAUGGGAGAAAUAAAUGCAAGAUGUCUACUACUUUUUGUUUGUUUUACUUACUAGAAGAUUUUUGCAUUUUCUUGGAUCAGUUAAUGUGGGGCAAAAUGUUUAGAAAACAAUGUGCACAUUUUCCAUUGAUAGGCAAGAGAUGAUAGAGAUAUGGUGGCCAGUUACUCGAAUUACUAGAGAUGACAGGACCAUCCAACAGAGGGAGGGAAGAAAAGGAAUUCAGAAAAAUGACAACAGAGAAGAAAGAUGGCUAAUGAGAAAUUUCUAGUAGCCAACAUGGCGAGAGGACUUUUAGGAACUACUGUCCUGAUUUAAUUUGCUUUUUUAAUUCUUUCUGUGUUUAAUCCUCCUGUAUUAACCAUGAAACCUAUGCUACUUACAUAAAUACCCUUGUUGUAGUAUAGCUUGGGGAAACUAAAAACCCAAGGCUGAGUCCUAUACUUAAGAAAGAAGAGAAAGAAAGAAAGAAAGAAAGAAAGAAAGAAAGAAAGAAAGAAAGAAAGAAGAAAGAAAGAGAAAGAAAGAAAAAGGAAAGAAGCAGAGUAGGAAAAGGACAGAACCUAAGGAAAAUUACAAAUAGGAAUUGAGAAAUAUACAAGAGUAGUAAUUUAGAGCAGGCUGGAAAUCAUCCCACCCUAACCAAGAAUUAAUAGAAAUACCGAGUAAGGCAAUAGGCCUCUCACAAUACUUAAAAUGGGAGUUCAUCUAUUACAUUUGGACAUAGAAAAAAACUGUAGGUAAUAUCAAAAAGCUGGAGUACAUGGGACAUCUUUGCUUCACUAUAUAACACUUUACCAUAUAAUAAUGGUUGUCAUUAGUUUCUUACUUCCCAUGUGUCAAAGAACCUAAAAAGCUAUUUUAGAAUAAGUAGAUUUAUGGCUUAUUUUGUAUUUAUAUCUUUGACUCAAUGUUUUCUACUAUGUUUCAUCAUUUCACAAUAUGAAAUAUUUCCAUCAAAAAAAAAAAAAACCAAAAAAACCCCCCAAAAAACCCUCCUCUCUCAUCCUAAAAAUACACCCAAAUCAAUCAGUGUUAUUCUCACUCAAAUGCAUAGAUAGGCUGUCACGUACUUACGGACCGCUUGGAUGGAAAUACAAAAAAGGAACAUUUUUAAUGUCAGUUAAGAAUAAUCACUCGUAUGGACCAUAACUGACACUGAAACCAGUUUCUUCGUCAAUGUUUGUGUAGGAGAUGGCUUGGAAAUGGACCAACUUUUUAAGGCCCACCUGUGUCAAAUUGGUCUAGAGGUAAGGAUCAUGCGAUGCAGAUAACAUUUUUAUUUACUUCUUGGAAUUCUAUUCUACGUCUAAAUACUUGACAUAAAAAAUCCUAGAAUAUUGCAAUUUAGAAUAUUUGAGUGAAGUAAGCAAGUUAGACAAAACAAAAGGUUGAAGAACAUUAUGAAUCCCCACAUCAGAUAAGAUCCUUGAUUUUUGUGAGGUGAUAUACUUGCCAGUAAAAUAGCAUUAGGUAGAACAAAUAAAGAACAGAACAAAUAAAUGGAACAAAGUUGAAGAGUUGAAGAAUCCUAAGUAUAACUCCAAUCACUGCUGUUUCAGAGGACGAGCAAUAAACUUCUCAAGAGAGAAAAUAAAGUAGAUUUUGGUUUCUAUGUGGGUAUUAACAACUUGGCAUCCACGAAAAAGUGAUAUAUACUCAUAGGGAGGCACUUGAUUUUCAACUAAUCCUAAAACAAUUCAAUUUAGCAAAACUCUACUGGUAAAGGCCAUUUUACAAUUGAUUUUUUGUGUGUUGAUUUUGUGUCUUACAAACUUGCAAAAUUCACUUAUUAGUUUGAAUAAGUUUUUGCAGAUUCAAUUGGAUUUUCUACAGAGACGAUCUUGCCAUCUGUCAAUAAAGAUAGUUGUACUUCUUCCUUUCCAAUCUGUAGGCCUUUGGAUUUUGAGGGAGUACAAUAUUGAAUAUAAGUGGUGAAAGCAUACAACCUUCACUUGUUCCUGGUCUUAGAGAGGAAAAUACUCAGUCUUUCAUCAUGGAGUAUAAUUUUAAAUAAGGUUUUUUAUAAUUCUUUAGCAGGCUCAGGAAGUUCUCUUUUAAUCCUAGCUUUCUGAAAGAUUUUAACAAGGAAUGGAUGUUGGAUUUUGUCAAAUGCUUUUUCUGCAUAUAUUUGAGCUUAUCAUUGGGUAUUAAAUUGAUAGAUUUUUCAAAUAUUAAA